GAUGAAGAACGCAGCGAAAUGCGAUAAGUAGUGUGAAUUGCAGAAUUCAGUGAAUCAUCGAAUCUUUGAACGCACAUUGCGCCCCUUGGUAUCCCGAGGGGCAUGCCUGUUCGAGCGUCAUUUGUACCUUCAAGCUCUGCUUGGUGUUGGGUGUUUGUCUCGCCUUUGCGUGUAGACUCGCCUCAAAACAAUUGGCAGCCGGCGUAUUGAUUUCGGAGCGCAGUACAUCUCGCGCUUUGCACUCAUAACGACGACGUCCAAAAAGUACAUUUUUACACUCUUGACCUCGGAUCAGGUAGGGAUACCCGCUGAACUUAAGCAUAUCAAUAAGCGGAGGA
Molecule: unclassified non-coding RNA, 338 nt
Filed under: soil metagenome
Description: partial contains 5.8S ribosomal RNA, internal transcribed spacer 2, and large subunit ribosomal RNA
Rfam family: 5.8S ribosomal RNA (bases 1-120)
Source: RNAcentral